ACGGAAGGCAGCAGUGGGGAAUAUUGGACAAUGGGGGAAACCCUGAUCCAGCGACGCCGCGUGAGUGAAGAAGUAUUUCGGUAUGUAAAGCUCUAUCAGCAAGGAAGAAAAUGACGGUACCUGACUAAGAAGCUCCGGCUAAAUACGUGCCAGCAGCCGCGGUAAUACGUAUGGAGCAAGCGUUAUCCGGAUUUACUGGGUGUAAAGGGAGCGUAGACGGCGUGGCAAGUCUGAUGUGAAAGCUAUGGGCUCAACCCAUAAACUGCAUUGGAAACUGUCAUGCUAGAGUGUCGGAGAGGUAAGCGGAAUUCCUAGUGUAGCGGUGAAAUGCGUAGAUAUUAGGAGGAACACCAGUGGCGAAGGCGGCUUACUGGACGAUAACUGACGUUGAGGCUCGAAAGCGUGGGGAGCAAACAGGAUUAGAUACCCUGGUA
RNAcentral lists this ribosomal RNA (434 nucleotides) under uncultured Lachnospiraceae bacterium. RNAcentral's name for it is "partial 16S ribosomal RNA". It matches the Rfam family "Bacterial small subunit ribosomal RNA", at positions 341 to 792 of the family's 1533-position model. Lineage: Bacteria; Bacillati; Bacillota; Clostridia; Lachnospirales; Lachnospiraceae. The record is from RNAcentral.